AACGAACGCUGGCGGCAUGCCUAACACAUGCAAGUCGAACGAGACCUUCGGGUCUAGUGGCGCACGGGUGCGUAACGCGUGGGAACCUGCCCUUAGGUUCGGAAUAACUCCCCGAAAGGGGUGCUAAUACCGGAUAAUGUCUUCGGACCAAAGAUCUAUCGCCUUGGGAUGGGCCCGCGUUGGAUUAGCUAGUUGGUAGGGUAAAAGCCUGCCAAGGCGACGUUCCAGAGCUGGUCGGAGAGGAUGAUCAGCCACACUGGGACUGAGACACGGCCCAGACUCGUACGGGAGGCAGCAGUGGGGAAUAUUGGACAAGGGGCGAAGGCCUGAUCCAGCAAUGCCGCGUGAGUGAUGAAGGGCUUAGGGUUGUAAAGCUCUUUGACCCGGGAUGAUAAUGACAGUACCGGGAGAAUAAGCUCCGGCUAACUCCGUG
Molecule: ribosomal RNA, 433 nt
Filed under: uncultured bacterium
Lineage: Bacteria
Description: partial 16S ribosomal RNA
Rfam family: Bacterial small subunit ribosomal RNA
Source: RNAcentral